RNAcentral lists this ribosomal RNA (3789 nucleotides) under Triticum aestivum (bread wheat). Its description in RNAcentral is "partial small subunit ribosomal RNA". Lineage: Eukaryota; Viridiplantae; Streptophyta; Magnoliopsida; Poales; Poaceae. The record is from RNAcentral.
AUGGAGGCAACGGUGCUGAGCGUGGGCAAGUCCGUGGUGAGCGGAGCUCUUAACUAUGCCCAAUCUGCCGUUGCAGAGGAGGUGGCACUGCAGCUGGGAGUGCAGCGGGACCAGGCCUUCAUCAGGGAUGAGCUCGAGAUGAUGCAGUCUUUUCUGAUGGCUGCGCACGACGAGCGAGACGACAACAAGGUGGUCAAGACCUGGGUGAAGCAGGUCCGUGACCUGGGCUAUGAUGUGGAGGACUGCCUGCAGGACUUUGCCGUUCGCUUCGAGAAGCCGCCAUGCUGGUGGCACAUCCUGACGACGCUGCUUGACCGGCGCCAUGUGGCCGUGCAGAUGAAAAACCUUCGAGCCAAGGUCGAGGACGUCAGCCAGAGGAACCUGCGCUACCACCUCAUCAGGGGCCCUGCCUCUGGCUCGAAGCCCGAGGCCACGGCCGCUGACCAGUACUCUGCAGGCAUCAAGGCCAGUGCUACAGUGUUUGAUGUUGAUGAAGCAAGGCGUGGCGUGAAGCCGAGGGUAGAUCUCGCCCAACUCAUCAACAAAGAGCAGAGCAAUGAUCUUAGAGUGAUUGUGGUGUGGGGAACAUGUGGCGUGCUUGGGCAGGCGUCCGUGAUAAGGAAGGUGUAUGAUGAUUCGGCCAAGUUUGAAUGCCGUGCCUGGAUCAAGCUUACGCAUCCUUUCGACCCGAUCGUGUUCAUGCAAAGCAUUAUGAGGCAGUUCUAUGGAUAUUCUUCUUUUCCAGAAUUAGCAGCUGAGGGGCGAAGUUGUCGAGAAAGAGCAAGUUCUAUAGGGUCUGAGGUUCUGAAGAAGAUGCUGAUGAUGAAGCAAGAAGAUUUGGUUGACCAGUUCAAUGAGCAUGUGAAUAAGAAGAGUUACCUGAUUGUUCUUGACGACCUGUGCAGCAUACAAGAUUGGGACUGGAUUAGAACGUACUUUCCUUCCAAUAGUAAUGGGAACCGUAUCAUUGUGGCCACACAACAAGUUGAAGUUGCAAGCUUAUGCGUCGGCCGGAAAUGCCGAGUCUCAGAGCUUAAGCAAGUAUCUGCUGAUCAAACUCUCUAUGUUUUCUACCACAAGAGCCCUCAAGGUGGAGCAAAUUCAAUGGAUAUAGGGUCAAGCUCAAAGGCAACCGCCAUUGUCACUACUAAUAGAACAUACUCUUCGUUGACCCCCUAUGAGAUACCAGCUCAAGCUAAAGAUGCCGCUGGCGGACAGUAUGUGGUCAGAAGGAGCCUCAGCCGCAUCUUGUGGAUGACGGCUGUUCUGGAGGGAUCUGAAGUUGUUGGGAGGGAGACAGAAAAAUAUCACAUCCUCCGACUAGUCCAAUCAGUGAACAAAAACCUUCAGGUUAUCUCUGUGUGGGGAACGCGUGGUUUGGGGAAAACUGCUCUAGUCAAAUAUAUCUAUGAAAGCGAAGAACUUAGUCUUGCAUUUGAGAAACGUGCUUUUCUCACAAUCAUGAGCCCCUUCAAUCAUGAGGAGCUCCUUAGGAGUUUACUUAUGGAACUAGUGGUGGCAGUGAAUGACACAAUGCAUCCAAAGGGGUCAGUUGAGAUGUUGAAGGAUGAGCUGGGAUUCUUUUUGACAAAAUAUAAGUGCUUGAUUGUUCUUGACAACUUGUCAUCUACCAGUGACUGGGACAUGAUAAUGGAAAUUUUACCUCAUACGAUAAAUACAAGUCGAAUCAUAGUCACCACAAGAGAAGAGACUGUCGCCAAUUAUUGUUCAAAGAAACAAUUCAAUGCAUACAAGCUCAAAGGUCUAAAUAAGAAGGAUGCACUUGUCUUAUUCACAAAAAAGGUAUUCAAGAAAACUGAAUAUUUGCAUUGGCAGUAUCCUGAGUUGGCUGAACAAGCAGAAAAAAUCUUGAAAAAGUGCAACGGUCUUCCUCUUGCAAUAAUUGCCAUAGCUGGUUUCUUGGCAAAUCAACCAAAAACUGCCACGGAAUGGAGAAAACUGAAUGAGAAUCUUAGUAGUGAGUUGGAGAUGAAUGCAGAGCUUGACACCAUAAGAACAGUCCUCCUCAAAAGCUAUGACGGUUUACCCUAUCAUCUCAAGGCUUGUUUAUUGUACCUUGCAAUCUUUCCCGAAGACUACAAGAUUAGUCUAACGCGUUUGGUGUGGCGGUGGAUUGCAGAGGGCUACUCAAGAGAGGUGUGUGGCAAGUCUUCCUAUGAAAUAGCAGAGAGCUACUUCAUGGACCUCAUAAGAAGGAGCAUGGUCCUGCCAUCCCGGCUAUCAAGGCAUGGUGAAAAAGAAUUUGACUCUUGCCAACUCUAUGAUAUCAUUCGUGAAAUCGUCAUCUCAAAGUCAAUGGAGGAAAGUCUUGUUUUCAGAUUGGAGCAAGGUUGCACCUUGAAUAGCCAAGUCAGAACACGUCACCUCUCUGUAAGCAAGAACUGGAAAGGAGACCAGAGUGAAUUCGAGAGUACAGUAGACCUGUCUCGUGUUCGAUCAAUAACAAUCUUUGGGAAGUGGAGGCCAUUCUUCGUCUCUGACAAGAUGAGGUUGCUGCGGGUACUGGACUUGGAAGGCACUUCAGGUUUGGUUGAUCAUCAUCUCAAGCACAUUGGGAAGCUUUUCCACUUGAGAUACCUUUCCCUCAGAGGAUGUCAUGGAAUUUAUCACCUGCCAGGUUCUUUGUGUAACCUAAGGCAGCUCCAGACACUAGAUGUCAGAGGUACAAACAUAUUCAAGCUACCAAAGAGCAUCAUGAAGCUCAGGAAGCUACAACAUGUUCGUGCCAGGGGCGUUGGGAGUACCGAUGAAUGUGUCUAUCAAGAAUAUCCAGAUGAGGUCCCGAAGCUGAUGAGGAACAAGCUAUGCAUGUUGACCUCCUCCUUGGCGGGGUUCUGCGUGGCAUGCUGUGCGCCACAACUUCUGAAGGAGUGCAUGAGCAUCGACGGGGACACCAACAGGCGUGACGUCUGCACCGCGUGCUGCUGCUCCUAUCUGCCGAUGCAGCUGACACGCCGGAGUGCACGCGGCUUAGCGGUGCCUAGAGGGAUUCACAGGCUCAAAGCCUUGCACACGUUGGGUGUCGUGAACGUCUCGAGGAGGAAGGCAGCACUGCGAGAGAUAGCAAGGCUCACGGGGCUGCGCAAGCUGGGAGUGACCUGCGUCGACGAGAGCAACAGUGGAGAGCUAUGUUCUGCCCUGGCUAGUCUCAGCUGCCUAGAGAGCCUGCUAGCACAGUCGGAGGGUAAGCCAGGUUUGUUUGGCUGCUUGGAUGGCCUGUCCUCACCUCCGGAAAACCUCGGAAGCCUGAAGCUGUAUGGCAACCUGGUCAAAUUGCCGGCAUGGAUCGACGGUGGGCUAAAAAAUCUGGCCAAGCUCAAGCUGCGGAGUUCCAGGAUAACGGACCAUGAUGCUGCCAUACAAGUCCUUGGGAGUCUACCGAACCUAGCCCUCCUGCAUCUGCGGAAAGAGUCAUUUGAGGGUGAAGAAGUCCAUCUUCGUUUCAGCGGGGGCUCAUUCCAGACCCUAAUGGUGCUGGAGCUGAGUUCCCCAGGUAAGCUCAAAUCCGUAGGGUUUGAAGAGGGAGCAGCCCCUAAGCUUGAGCUGCUGGAGUAUUGCGGCCAGCCUGAGGAAGAUGCCGUUUCAAAAGAAAACAACGGCGAUCAGAUUGAAGAAGCCCCCAGUGUUUGGUUGUUUUCUGGGCUAGCAUUUCUGGGAAGCCUCAAGGAGGUUGUGCUCAAGGGGGGCGACUACAAGAACGACUUCGUGAGAAACGUGUAUUACCAGCUUCAGUCAAACCCGAGACGGCCUCUUCUCAAGAUGGAGUGA